GAUGAACGCUAGCGACAGGCCUAACACAUGCAAGUCGAGGGGCAGCACGAAGUAAGCUUGCUUACUUUGGUGGCGACCGGCGCACGGGUGCGUAACAGGUGUGCAAUCUGUCCAUAAUCGGGGAAUAGCCCAGCGAAAGUUGGAUUAAUGCUCCAUGUGAGCCGAGGAGGCAUCUCUUUGGUUUGAAACGUAAGGAUUAUGGGUGAGCACGCUUCUGAUUAGGUAGUUGGUGAGGUAACGGCUCACCAAGCCGACGAUCAGUAGGGGUUCUGAGAGGAAGGUCCCCCACAUUGGAACUGAGACACGGUCCAAAACUCCUACGGGAGGCAGCAGUGAGGAAUAUUGGUCAAUGGACGGAAGUCUGAACCAGCCAAGUCGCGUGAAGGAUGAAGGUUCUAUGGAUUGUAAACUUCUUUUGUCUGAGGGUAAAAAAGCGGACGUGUCCGUUCUUGCAAGUAUCAGACGAAUAAGCAUCGGCUAACUCCGUGCCAG
RNAcentral lists this ribosomal RNA (492 nucleotides) under uncultured bacterium. RNAcentral describes it as "bacterial SSU rRNA". It matches the Rfam family "Bacterial small subunit ribosomal RNA", at positions 28 to 511 of the family's 1533-position model. The record is from RNAcentral.